Equus caballus (horse) is the source of this 10434-nucleotide non-coding RNA. Lineage: Eukaryota; Metazoa; Chordata; Mammalia; Perissodactyla; Equidae. The record is from RefSeq and is a predicted model, not a curated record.
UCUCUUCCCCACUCCCAACUGAGGGGCUGUGGCCAGGCCUGGGGAUGCUUGUGUGACGCUCCCAGGACGGGCCCUGGAGCACCCCGAGACGGCAGGCUCCGUGAGCCCAAGGCCUGGGAAGCCGGGGUGGGAGGGUUUGGAGAGUCGGGAGGCCUGUGCGGGUCCUGGGCUGCAGGGACGCUGUCACCCAGCUCCAGGGCAGGUGGCCUCUGUGGUCCCUGCAGGAGGCCCGGCGUGAGCUGGACGGCCAACUGGCUGCCAAGCAGAAGGCGGGUCACUCCCCGCUGCUGCGAGCCAUCCUGAGAGGAGCUGGCACUGCCCACGCCUCAUGCUGAACCUGGCCAGCCCCACAUUCCAGAAAUAACCCGCCCUGGGGCACCCCGCUCGGCAGCGUUGAGGCCAGGCCGUGGCGUGCCUCAGCCUGUCCGUCUGCAGCAGUGUCAGGCUGCGCCUACUCCCGGCCUGGCACGGCCUGGCCCUCUCUCUUCCCAGGAUGGAGGUGGGCUCCAGCAUCUGUGCUUGCAUACUCCCAGGGACCAGGCACUCACUACCAGCAGAGGCCACCCUAACUAGCAAAGUUCUACAGACGGAGUCCAAGUCUGUGACAUUCUCCCAGUGUCCCCAGCAUGGAGAAGACAGCCCUAUGGAGAUGCAAGGACAGGGUCGCUUCUCUCCAACUGACCUGCUCUGUCCAGCCUGAUGAGCUCCCCUGCUCUGUCCUGUCUCCAAGACCACAGGUGGGGAGGGUCCAGAGUUUGCGAUCAGGGGCUUCCUGCUCCUGGAGGGAGGUUUCCCAGGAGCAGAGGAGUGAGCGCCUCAGGCAGGCCUGAGGGGGCACCCGCGCCUGGGCCCUCAAACCAACUUCCCUCCAGCGAGGGCACGGACCCCAGCCCAGCACCUGCUGAGGGGAAGGCGGCCAUGCUCUGGCUCCUGCACCAUCGCAACAGGUCUGCAUUCUCCUCCACACUCAGCCCUCUGCUCAGACAGGGGCCCACGCCCCCCAAGGUCCUCUGCUCAGCCCCUUGGUGACCCCAUGGACAAUGCCAGACUGAUCCUACUUGCUGUGGUCACAGCCUCUAAGGAUCCCACUGACCCACCUCCUGUGUCCCUUUCCUGGUGUGAUUCACACCCACGAACGUGGGUGGGACUUACUCGCUUUUAACCAAUAGGAUGUGGCAGAAGCAAUGACAUCACUUCCAAGAUUAGGUCACAAAAGGGCUGCAGCCUUGCCUCAGGCCCCUGGAUCCCUCAUUCCCUCACUCUCCCCGAGGGAGGUUGGGGGCUGCUAAGAGAGGCCCUCGAGGCAAGGAACUGAUGUGUGCGGUCAGAAGCCCACUGUGUGUGGUGGGGGCAGAAGGGUCAUGUCAGGAAGGUCUGUGUCAUCAAAGAACAGAGAUAGUCUGUACCCAGGGGUCCCAGCUGGCAGGGCCUCUGCAGCUAUGGUCUCACAGGAAACCCCUGGCAGCAGAGAAGUCUUGAUUCAGCCCUUUUUCCCACAAGGCGGCCGGCUCGGAGAGGAGGUGACCUGUCAACCCUGGGCGGGCUGGCUUUGGCCCCGUUGCUACUGUGUGCGCCCUCGCCUUCCAGCCCCGCAGCGCUGAGCCAGGCUGCUGGGGGAGUCAGCGCACGCAGUUUGCCCGAGCAUCCACUCUGGAAGAGUUCGGGACCGAGUCCCCAUUGGGCCCGGGAGGUCAGAGAAGGCUUCCGGAGCAGGGGGUCCAGGAAAGCCCAGGUGGGAGGGGAGAUGGGAUGGUGUUCCAGGUGAGGCGCCAUCCCAGAGAGCUCCCCAGCCCACCCAGCAAGGACUCUCCUGUGAUGGGAGGUCUACACCUGCCUCCCAGGGUGGGGGACAAUGUGGGGGUCAUCAGGCCAGACAGUGGGUCCCUUAUGCAAAUGCUGAGAUAUGACCUCAAGGAAGGGAUGCGGGAGCCUGCUGGCAGCCUGGGCCCAGAUGAGGGUGCUCUGAGCUGGGGAGUGGGGUGUGGCUUGGGAGGUCACAGGCCGAGGGACACGAGGGCCCAGGAUGGCCAGAUUAAGAGUGACGGCAGCAGGUAUGAGAGGCUGCAGGCCAGUGGAGAUCACGACACAGCUGCCGUCCACACGGUGCUUGUCCUGGGGGCAGGGACCCCGACCUCAGGCCCACUUUCAGCUCACCGCUUGGCCCCCAGCUGCUCUUACCAGCCCUGCCCAUGAGGGCUUGGCUGGGCAGCGAGGGCUAUGCUCCGUCUGUCCAGACUUGUCCCUGCAGGUCCCUGCAGUGGCCCCUGGAGGACGAUGGGUCCACACCUGUUGCCAGAGGAACACAAAGGAGCUGGCACAUGCCCAGUCUGUCCGUGGCUCCUUGCUGUUCCAUGCGGAUCGGAACAAGGCUGUCUGCUCUGGGGUCAGCGCAGCCACUCUGGGAAGCAGCCAGGGAGGUGGUGUCCAGCCGGGGGUAGGGGGUGCCCCUCAGACCCCAGGGCAGCCCCACCCACAGGCCCACUGCCCCAGCACUGGUUUUCGGCAGAGCUUGCCAACGGUGUCCCCCUCCAAAGGUCACAGGACCCUCGCCACACCUGAACUGUGACCGAGACCGCCGUCGAGUGCAGAGCAUCACGGCGCGGGUCCAGAGCUGCGCAGUGGCCCGGGGCCGGGCAAGGCCACAUGCAGCCUGGGGUCCGGAGGCCAAGAUUAGAGCCCAGGCAGCCCUGAGAGAGGAGCCCACUCAGGGACAGGCCCCCAGCAUGCUGAGGCCUCGUAGAGAAAUGAUUUGCUUCACCAAAUUAGUCCUCACUUUCCAAAGGACCUGCCCAGAGGGGCUGCAUGAAGAGACAAAAUGCUCCCAGCUCUCCCGGAACACAGCGGAAAUGGCCCCGGCCGGGGGUUCCAGACCAGCCUCAGGGGCCAGCAUGGGUGGGGUUCGUAGGACCCCAGCAACGGCCAAUGGCAGGGAAAACCAGCCGGCCCCCGGGAAGUUAUGGCCGCCUUGCGGAGCCCCCAGCCCCGGCAGCUGCCCCGCCCUGCACCUGUCUCUCUGUUUGCACAAAUCCCUUCCCUAAUAGACUUAAUCACGCUGCUUUGAUGACAGCGCCAGGGCCCGUGCAGGCCUCCCCGGCCGUGGGGAACAAGCACGCCAUUGUCUCCUGCCCCACCGCCGGCGGGCCUGUUAAUGGGUAAACCGAGGGGAGGAGGACGGCCCUGCCUGAGGCCGGGGCGGGGAGCCGCCGGGCAUGGCCUGGCCACCCCAGCACCCCCAUCCCACCAGGCGCCGCCAUCCUGCACUGGACCCCCCACAGGCAAAGAGCACGUGGCUUCUCGCCUGUUCUGGAACCAGCCCAGGGGCCACUGAUAGAGCCACCAGCAAGAGAGCUACCCCACACACCCCCACAGUGAGGCAAGCGGGCCUGGCCACUCACUGUGCGCCCCCGGGCCUAGGGGACACAUAAGCCACUGUCACUCUCUAAGGGUGGGAUUGUAAAAGGGGGCAAUUUCUUGAAAGUUAAACAUAGGGUCACCAUAUGACCCAACAAUUCUGCUCCCCAGGCAUAGACACCGGAUAAGCAAAAGCAGGGUCUCAAAGAUACACUUGCACACCCAUGUUCACAGCAGCAUUAUUCACAACAGCCAAGAGGCGGAAACGACUCAAGUGUCCCCUGAUGGGUGAACGGAUACACAAAAGAUGGUCCAGCCACACAGUGGAACAUGACUCAGCCAUAAGAUACACUGCAGCACGGACACGGGCUGCGACACGGAUGGACCUGGAACACGUGAGGCCCAGUAAAGGAAGCCGGACACGGAAAACCACAGACGGUAUGAUCCAUUGGGAUCCGUAGGUAGCAGGCAGACACUGGUGGUUUUGGGGGGCAGGAGGAGGAGGGGGGCAGUGGGCGCUGAUGAGUACAGAGUUUCCCUUGGGUGAUGGAAAUGCCUUGGAACUAGAUAGAGGUGGUGGUUGCACCAUAUUGUGAAUGUACCAAGUGCGGCUGAAUUGCACACUUUAAAAUGGCUAAUUUUAUGUCCUGUGAAAUUCACCUCAAUUUAAAGAAAAACAACCCGCUGAGAUAGACGCACAGACGGUGGGUCCUGGAGUGUGGGAAACCCAGAGCGGCUCGGUUGCAGGGUAGACACGGACCCCGAGGGGGCAGCCUGGCUCGGACCCCAGCUCUGCCCGCUCUUGGCUGUGACCUUGGGCAGGGGCAUGGCCUCCCUGGACUGUCGGGAGAAUGAAUUAGCCAUUGGAUGGGGACAGAAAGCCCUCCGCAUUGCCUCCCUGGACAGCUGUGGCCACACUCACACUCCCCCCAGGGCUCGUUUGUUCUGGCUCCCUCAUCCUUUCCCACCAUUUCAUGAAGACCUACUAUGCACCAGCCGGUUCGGGACCCUGGAGAAAGCAGGCCGAUCCGAUUCCUGCUGGCACAGAGUGCACAGUUCUAGGCUGGGGACACGCGAACGCUGGGUAACUGAACCCUUACAGCCCCGAGUGGGGAGAGAAGGCAGGAAAGGAUGACAGGGUGGUGAAUCCUUGGGCACCGCCCCCUGAGGGCAGAGCCAGCAUAUACCCAGGAGCCAGCCCCUGCCCUACUCUCCCUCCUAGGCCCCCGACCCACCAACUGACCUGCAGGCCUUGGCUGGGUUCUGGGGGUAGGGGGCCGCCCGAGACGGAGCAGGCUGCCCUCGCCUGACUCUGACCCUCAGUGUUUUCCUCCAUGAAAUGGGGAGGGAGGAGAGUGAUCUGCUCUUGUCCCAGAGCCCUGCCUCCUGCUGACCUCCCUGCCAAUGGGAACAGAGCUUGUCUGAGGUCAUCUCAGCCUCGAAGCCCGGGGUCAGGGCUCCCCGGACUGCCCAAAACACCACAAACAGGCCCCAGAACGGGUUUAUUCAUCUGCUCCAUAGAGGAACCACCUGCCGUGUCCUUCCCUCCCCCAGCCCCGGGCCACCACCGGCCCUUUGACUACAGGCACAGCUCUGCCUUUUCGGGACUGUCACUUGGCUGGAAACACAGCGCGUGGCCUUGUCAGGUUGGCCUCUCUCACUUAGUCACACGCAUGUCGGGCCGCUCCACGUCUUUGCAAACAGACUGCUCAUUUCUGUAUGGGCUUUACGCACACUCGGCUCUCUCACGUCAGAAAGACCCCUCUUGACCCCAACAACUCCCCAAUUCCCUCCCUUCGCUGUAAGUCUUGAAAGAGUGAACUCGCCCUCCCCAUUCCUUCCUGUCACCUCGCUGUGCCCCAAUGCCACCAGAACCGCGCGCCAGGGGCCCAGUGACCGGCCGUGUUAGCCCAGAGAUGUGCUCUGGUCCCCACCCCGUGGCCUCCCCGCCCUCCUUGGCUGGCCCUCUGCGCUCUCCUCCUCCUCCAGCUGUCCCUCUCCAGAUGCCUCCCCAGACCCUUCCACCUGCCCCGCGCUGGUAGACACCCAGGGGCCACAUCUCUUUGCCUUCCUGUUGUAGCCUCUGUCCGUGUCUGUGCAGGCCGCUUCUUCCUGUGCUUCAGACUCCAGUCCCAGAAGCCAACUCCCCUCUGACUGCCACCCUUGCAUGGCGGGUGGCAAGGCAGGCUCAGCAUCCCAGGGCCCGGGUUGCAGAGCUGCCCGCGCGCGACCUGGUCCUCCGCCACAAUUCCAGAUCUCCAUGCUGGCCACCACCAGCUUACCAACUGCCCCACCACAGCUGUGCCUUUCCUGCCCCGCAUUCUGUCCACCAGCUGCUCCUGUGGGAUUUUGCCCAACUGUGGCCCAAGCCCGUCAUCAGGGGAGUGACAGGGGUCUGCUGUGGUCUCCCCACAACCUCCCUCACGCCCCCUCAUCCUCCCCCAGGAGGUCAGAAAGACUUUUGCAAACGUGCGCCACAUGACAACAUGCACCUCCCUGCAUGUAGAGGCCCCCCGGGACUUCCCGUCAGCCUUCGAUAAAGACAGAGUCCACAGGGGCCUUUGUGCCUCCCCAGGCUGAUUUGGUGGCACAUGCCCACCUCAGCUCCUCUCCGUUCUCUGAGGGGCCAUGACUGAUCAGCCACAGGGCCUUUGCAUGCGCUGCUCCUCUGCCCAAGUGAACCCCACUUGAGCAUCACUCCCUUGGAAGCUGUCCCAGCUGCCUCCCAUGGUCCCCUAGUUCCACGUUGAGCCCCUUCACCCACACCGCAGGGCAAUGGGGGACGGCAGGGACCAAACAGAUCAGGUCCUGGUGACAGUGGGGCCUCCGUCCUGGUGGGGAAGAAGCAGAGAGCAGACAAGUUGGUAAAUACAUGGCAUGUUCAAGGAGUUAAACUCUACGGAGAAAUAGAAGAUGGAGUGACAUGGGCGGGUGGCAGACCCUGAGGCCCUUGUCCAUGUUGGCGGGGGCACCAGGGGCAAGCUCCCGACUGGUGGGCUUUGAGAGGCCUGUUGACCUUUAGGCGGACAUGCCGAACAGCCGUGGGUGUGAGCCGGGUUGCAGGAGACGUGACAGCAGGCACUGCUGCCUGCAGAGGGACUCUAAAGCCACGAGCCAGGAUGUGCUUGCCUGGGGCGGGCAUGGAUGCCAGAGCGAAGAGGCCUGAGCUGAGCCCAGCCUGUCCACGCGAGAGCUGGGCCCUGGAGAGGAGCCUUCCGCUUGUGUGCUUUCCUGAUGUCCGUCUCCCGCCUGGACCAGGAGCUCUCGUCUCUGAUCCCCUGCUGUAUCCUGUGCAGACAGCAGGUGCUCCACACGUGUCACGCGGCUGGCUGCAUGUGGCUGGACUCGGUGGCUCUCUGGGUGCGUCCCUGGAGGAUGGCUGAGGGAAGAGCCCCACAUGGAGCGCAUUAGGGUGGCAGCCACCAGGGCUCCCCAUCCACAGCUGAGACACUGAACACCAGCCUGGGAAGGCACAGAGCCUCCUGAAGGUGAAGGGAGAGCCAGCUGGGGCUCAAACCAGGCAUCCGUCUGAGCCUGUGCCGCCCUGCCCAGGGCCUGCCUGGGCCCCAGUGGUGGACAGUCCCUGGAAAGCUCCAAGCGAGGAGGGAGUCUUGGGCCCUCAGGACCGCUAUAGGGUCUGCUGGGAUGGAGGAGCAGGCGGUGAGCUGCCCCUGCCUUCCUCCCUCCCCUCUGCUCUCCCCCUCCCUGCCUCAUCCCUCCUCAGUCCUAAGGAACAGGGUGACCCAUGGGGAGAUGGGGAUCGGCACUGGCCAGGCUCCCUGCACCCAUCCUCCCAGGGGGCACCAGGCACACACAGCAUGCACAGACACAUGCCCAGCCACGGCAGGGGCACACGCACCCACACCCACAGUGUGUCACACCCACUGGGACCCAACCCUCCCGCCCCAGCCUCCUGCUGGCAGCGACAACCACACAGACGCUCAGGCACACGUCCCCAGCAUCAUCCACCCAGGCUGGCAGGUCCAGACAGACACCGUACAUCAAAGUCCCGGGCGGCAAGCGUGCCCGGAGCUCAGCCUGUGGGACAGGGGGACCCGAGGACAGGCAGACGCCUGCACCCCGGGAGGGGCUCUGCGGAGGGCCUGGGGGGCACAGAGCAACUUCCCAACUGCGCAGCGCUCCUGCAGGACCCCCUGGGGACCUCGCCUCUGAGACCCGAGAGCCCUGGUGCGGCCCAGCCCACCCUGUCACCGACACUGCACCGCCCCGGCCACCGAGGUCGGCAUGAAGUGCUCACAGCUGCCUCCUCCAUGAACUGUUCUCAGGCCAAGGGGAGGCCGUGCCCACCCCCAGCGCAGCUGGCCAGGGAGGGACCCGCAGGGGUAGAGAGGGCCAGCCCCAUGGCUGGGGGUGACGGCUCUGCGGAGCCAUCUACGCCCCAGGGCUCCCCAGGGAGCCCCCCUCCCCACUCGCCUGCUUUCUCUUUCCCUCCCUUCUCUGGAGGGCACCCCUCCCACGAACCCCGAGUGAGGAUCUGGGGCUCUGCUUCUGGAACAGGCCAGAGAGGUGCUGGGAAGCAGACCUCCGCCACACAGUCACCCCAGCCAGGAGGGCCUGCCGUGAGCUGGGGGCUGAGCCCGCCCUGCGCCCUGUUGGCUGGAGCCCCCGCCAGGUCGUCUGCAGCCCUCACACGAGAACCGCAGGGGAUCUGAGCCAAGGGACAGCGGAACAGGGCGUUGGCUAGGACCUCUGAGUCCUCAAUUUACAGUCCAGUGUGAGAGUCCCAGGCUCCCGGUGGCCCCGAGAGAGGCAGAGGCAGCAGGGCCACGGCCAGGCCCAGGGCAGGGUUGUGGGAUCCCCCGAGAAUCCGAGCAAGUGCCCCAAGGAGGAAGGAAGACCCCCCCAAGACCCUUGCACUUGAGGGCUUUGAACUCCCAACUCUCGGAGCCCCCUGGGCCUGCAGAAAACGCCCCCAUUGUAAGAUAGAGGCCACACGUCCUCAGAGACCCCGCAGGGACCUAAAUGACGCAGGUGCCUUACGAGGCAAUGCCCGCCCUCCUCGCAGUCUGCCCCACCUCCCCGCCUGGCCCCCGACCCACAACCAGGAAGGGCUGGCCUUGAUAAUUGGGGGGGCGGGUUGUACACCCAAGGGGCUGCAGCGCUGCCUGGCGGGGCCGCCGAGGCCUGGGGGAGGGUCGGAGGGUGCAGGUCAAAGCUGCAGUGUUAAACUGGAGGUGGGAGGGCUUGCUUAUACCAGGCCCAUUUCCUGGGACAUGGGACCUAACCCCUUGGCAGAUGGUCCUCAGAAGCGCCAGAAGAGCAACGACCUACUGUAAAGAAAGUCCUGAGACCAGAGCUACAUGGCAGACGGUGGAGGAAGGAAUAAGGCCCAGAGCAGCGGGCAUCCCACGUGGUCUGCGUGUAAUUCUGGGCCUGCCUAACAAAUUGGAAAAGCAACGCCCAAAAGGGACAAAGUGCCCCAAGGUAACCAAACUGCAUCCCAAAAUAGACCCCACGGUAUUCGUAGGAAUGCAGAGACAUCCAGCACCAACAAGGCAAAAUUCACAAUGUGCGCAUUGAAGAAAAAGUGUGAGGCGUGCGAGGAAGCAGGAAAAGGCAGCCCAUAAUGGGGAGGCAAGCCAAGCAGUCAGAACCCACACAGCUGCUGGAAUGAGCAGGGACAUGAAAAAAUGUGACUGCAUUUCACACAUGCAAAGGGCCCAAGAGAGACAUGGAAGCCACACGUUUGGCAAAAUCCAACACCCGUUCAUGAUAAAAACCCACAGCAAAUGAAGGAUCAAGAGGAACUUCCAUGUUUGAUAAAGAACAUGUGCAGAAACCUACAGCUCACAUCAUACUUAAUGGUGAGAAACGAGUUGCUUUCCACUGGAGAUCAGGAACGAGGCAAAGAUGUCUGCUCUCACCACUCCAAUUCAGCACCAUCCUAGAAGUCCUAGCUAGUGCGAUAAGAGAAGAAAAUGAAAUAAAACAUAUACGGAUCGCACAGAAAGAAAUAAAACACUUUCUAUUUGCUGACGACAUGAUUGUCCAUGGAGAAAAUUUUAACUGACCAAAAAAUGCUGGAACUAACAACCAAGUAUAACAGGGUCAUAGAAAACAACCUUAAUAUACACAAGUCAACUGCUUUCCUGUAUAGCAAUAACGAACAAUUGGAAUUUGAAGUUAAAAAAUGAAUCUCGUUUACAAUAGCACACCCUAAAAUGAAAUACUUAGGUAUAAAUCUAACAAAUACACAAGACCCACAUACAGAACACUGCCAGACACUGAUGAAAAAAAAUUUUUAAGAGCUAACUAAAUGGAGAAAUAUUCUGUGUUCAUAGAUUUGAAGACUCAGUAUUAAGACAUCAAUUCUUUCCCACUUGAUAUACAGAUUGAACACGCUCCCAACCAAAAUCCCAGCCAGCUCUUCAGGAAGCAUCAACAAACUGACUCUAAAGUUUCUAGGGAGAGGCAAAUGGCCAGGAAUCGCCAGCACAACACUGAAAAACGAGGCUGGAGAACUCACACCACCUGGUUUGGAAACCUCCUGUAAGACCACAGUAAUCAAGACAGCAUAGCACGGGUGAAAGAAUGCACACACAAAUCAACAGGACAGAAGAGCGAGACAGAGAGAGACCUACACAUACGUAGUAACUGGUCUUUUCCAAGGGGGCAAAGGUGAUUCAUGGAGAAAGAGCAGUCUUUUCAACAAAUGGUGCUGAAACAUUUGACGUCCACAUGCAAAAAAACGAACCUAGACACAGACGUUAUACCUUAAAAAAAAAAAAACUCUAAACAUAUUAUAGACCUAAAUGUUAAAUGCAAAACCAUAAAAUUUCUUAAAGAAAACAUAUGAGAAAAUCUACAGGAGCUUGGGUUUGGUGAUGAAAUUUUAAACACAACACCAAUAGCAUGAUCUAUGAUGGAAAAAAUUGAUAAGUCAGACUUCACUAAAAUUAAAAACUUCUGCUCUGUGAAGAACACUGUCAAGAGAAUGAAAAGCCAAGCCAUAGACUGGGAGGAAAUAUUUUCAUAUCUGGCAAAGGACUUGCCUCCGAAAUAUACAAAGGAACUCUCAAGAAUCAACCACACCAAAACAAUGCAACUAAAAAGCAAGAAAAA